AACGCGAAGAACCUUACCAGCCCUUGACAUCCCGGUCGCGGACUCCAGAGACGGAGUUCUUCAGUUCGGCUGGACCGGAGACAGGUGCUGCAUGGCUGUCGUCAGCUCGUGUCGUGAGAUGUUGGGUUAAGUCCCGCAACGAGCGCAACCCUCGUCCUUAGUUGCUACCAUUCAGUUGAGCACUCUAAGGAGACUGCCGGUGAUAAGCCGCGAGGAAGGUGGGGAUGACGUCAAGUCCUCAUGGCCCUUACGGGCUGGGCUACACACGUGCUACAAUGGCGGUGACAAUGGGACGCUAAGGGGCAACCCUUCGCAAAUCUCAAAAAGCCGUCUCAGUUCGGAUUGGGCUCUGCAACUCGAGCCCAUGAAGUUGGAAUCGCUAGUAAUCGUGGAUCAGCACGCCACGGUGAAUACGUUCCCGGGCCUUGUA
RNAcentral lists this ribosomal RNA (430 nucleotides) under uncultured Alphaproteobacteria bacterium. Its description in RNAcentral is "bacterial SSU rRNA". It matches the Rfam family "Bacterial small subunit ribosomal RNA", at positions 958 to 1385 of the family's 1533-position model. The record is from RNAcentral. Lineage: Bacteria; Pseudomonadati; Pseudomonadota; Alphaproteobacteria.